Molecule: ribosomal RNA, 484 nt
Filed under: uncultured bacterium
Lineage: Bacteria
Description: partial 16S ribosomal RNA
Rfam family: Bacterial small subunit ribosomal RNA
Source: RNAcentral
AUUGAACGCUGGCGGCAUGCUUUACACAUGCAAGUCGAACGGCAGCGCGGGCUUCGGCCUGGCGGCGAGUGGCGAACGGGUGAGUAAUACAUCGGAACGUGCCCAGUAGUGGGGGAUAGCUCGGCGAAAGCCGGAUUAAUACCGCAUACGACCUGAGGGUGAAAGCGGGGGAUCUUCGGACCUCGCGCUAUUGGAGCGGCCGAUGGCGGAUUAGCUAGUUGGUGGGGUAAAGGCCUACCAAGGCGACGAUCUGUAGCUGGUCUGAGAGGACGACCAGCCACACUGGAACUGAGACACGGCCCAGACUCCUACGGGAGGCAGCAGUGGGGAAUUUUGGGCAAUGGGCGAAAGCCUGAUCCAGCAAUGCCGCGUGUGUGAUGAAGGCCUUCGGGUUGUAAAGCACUUUUGGCGGGAACGAAAAGGACUGUGCCAAUACCACGGUUCGAUGACGGUACCCGCAGAAUAAGCACCGGCUAACUACGUG